AUUGAACGCUGGCGGCAUGCCUUACACAUGCAAGUCGAACGGCAGCACGGGAGCAAUCCUGGUGGCGAGUGGCGAACGGGUGAGUAAUAUAUCGGAACGUGCCCAGUCGUGGGGGAUAACGUAGCGAAAGCUACGCUAAUACCGCAUACGAUCUACGGAUGAAAGCGGGGGAUCGCAAGACCUCGCGCGAUUGGAGCGGCCGAUAUCAGAUUAGGUAGUUGGUGAGGUAAAGGCUCACCAAGCCGACGAUCUGUAGCUGGUCUGAGAGGACGACCAGCCACACUGGGACUGAGACACGGCCCAGACUCCUACGGGAGGCAGCAGUGGGAAUAUUGGGACAAAUGGGCGAAAGACCUGAUCCAGCAAUAGCCGCGUGAGUGAUGAAGG
RNAcentral lists this ribosomal RNA (387 nucleotides) under uncultured bacterium. RNAcentral describes it as "bacterial SSU rRNA". It matches the Rfam family "Bacterial small subunit ribosomal RNA", at positions 29 to 414 of the family's 1533-position model. The record is from RNAcentral.